CCCUGCCCUACAGACCAUAAAGGAAAACAGCAAGAGGUCCCCAGCAAACAUCUACAGAUGGCCCUGGACAUCAGCCACAUUCUGAGAAACAUGUCAUGUUCUGGGAGGGCUAAGGCAUCAAGCUCACCCUGCAGGAAUCCCAGUGAAUAUAUUGCCACCAUCUUGGAGCUCAGUGCCCUCAUAGUGUAACAGCACCAGCAGAUCUGCCUGUGCACAGACUUCCUGUACUACCUCACUUCUGAGGGGAGAUGCUUCUGCAGGGCCUGCGACCUGGGGCACAACUUUAGACACCAUCAUCCUGGAGCGGCACUGCACCCUUACUAGCCAGGGUGUUGACUUCCUCAAUGCCAAGGCCACGUUCAAGAUUUUCGACUUCAGUGAUGCGUUUGUGCUGAGCAAGGUGGGCUUCUCCGGGAUCUUAAUUCAAGAGGUAGAAUGCAGCUUGAGAUCUAGUGUCUGAUCGAAGAACUUGAACUUGACCUGGAGGGCUCUGGGGAGCCAUGGAAGGUGCUGGAUAAAGGAGGGACAGUCAUAUAUGUUUUAGAGAUGACUGUGAAAGGCUGCCUGGAAGGAGUGAACAAGAGCCAGGAGACCAGGGAGGGAGUUUGUGGGGCAGGUCUGGAGAUGGCAAGGGAGGGAUCCUGCUUGGAUGAAAGGACUUCAGGGACUGUCUCAGGUUACACUCAGGUGUCCUC
This 695-nucleotide long non-coding RNA is filed under the name Pan troglodytes (chimpanzee). RNAcentral's name for it is "long non-coding RNA NONPTRT010729". The record is from RNAcentral. Lineage: Eukaryota; Metazoa; Chordata; Mammalia; Primates; Hominidae.